Molecule: long non-coding RNA, 790 nt
Organism: Drosophila guanche
Lineage: Eukaryota; Metazoa; Arthropoda; Insecta; Diptera; Drosophilidae
Exons: 2
Source: RefSeq, a predicted model, not a curated record
AAAAAACAUGUAGACAUGUCCAGUGUUCAUGCCAAAAAUCCACCCAUUACGAUACGAACUGAUCCUUAACUACACUAUUCUUUGGAUUUGGUCCGCAGUGGCCUUUUACAGGGAGAAACCGUGAAACACUGAACGCCAUUCGAGUUUGGACUCGGAGGCAUUGGCCGAUGUUCUGAGAUGUUUAAACGGUCAACCGUUUUUGAAUAAGUGCCCCAACUGCCAGGGUUCCAAGGAGGAAAGACUGGAAACAUUGAGGUACGGCAGUAAGAGGAAUAUCAAAGGAAUCGAACAAUGCAUUCAACUUCAUUGAACAUCAUUGCCUGCUAACAUCGAAAAGACAAACGCUUCGCGAGAAGAGCAGCUUCAACGUCGAGUAGAUGGAGCCAAAGAAGACUAUGAGAGGUAGUUAGUGUCCGUGGCACUCAGUCACUUGCUUCCAUCGAAGGAAAAAAGGAACGUAAUCGUAAAUAAGUAAAAUGUCCAACAAACUAACAAUCAAAAGCCUGUCGUUUGUUUUUGUUAUCAAAGUAUAAAGAAUUUAUUACAUGUGUGUGUAUAUCCAUUGCAUCAUAUAAAUGUGUGUUCGUGUAAAACUACGACAAAUUUUAAUAUCAAAACAGGACAGAUCAGAUAACAGAAUAAUGCCCGCAACCAAGAAGCCAAGAAGCCUUCCGCUCUUGUUAGUCAAUUUGAGAGUGGUAGAAGGUCGUGUUAGAAUGGGGUGAGGGUGGGCAUGAGAUGCCAACAGCAAUAUAGACCGGAUCUAAGGCCAAUAACCAAAUCGCACUGC